This 358-nucleotide ribosomal RNA is filed under the name uncultured Alphaproteobacteria bacterium. Its description in RNAcentral is "bacterial SSU rRNA". It matches the Rfam family "Bacterial small subunit ribosomal RNA", at positions 114 to 507 of the family's 1533-position model. Lineage: Bacteria; Pseudomonadati; Pseudomonadota; Alphaproteobacteria. The record is from RNAcentral.
CGCGUGGGAACGUGCCCCCUUCUUCGGAAUAGCCUCGGGAAACUGGGAGUAAUACCGGAUACGCCCUUUGGGGGAAAGAUUUAUCGGAGGAGGAUCGGCCCGCGUUGGAUUAGGUAGUUGGUGGGGUAAUGGCCUACCAAGCCGACGAUCCAUAGCUGGUUUGAGAGGAUGAUCAGCCACACUGGGACUGAGACACGGCCCAGACUCCUACGGGAGGCAGCAGUGGGGAAUCUUAGACAAUGGGCGCAAGCCUGAUCUAGCCAUGCCGCGUGAGCGAUGAAGGCCUUAGGGUUGUAAAGCUCUUUCAGGGGGGAAGAUAAUGACUGUACCCCCAGAAGAAGCCCCGGCUAACUCCGUG